RNAcentral lists this ribosomal RNA (494 nucleotides) under uncultured soil bacterium. RNAcentral's name for it is "bacterial SSU rRNA". It matches the Rfam family "Bacterial small subunit ribosomal RNA", at positions 95 to 633 of the family's 1533-position model. The record is from RNAcentral.
GCGGCGAACGGGUGAGUAAUGCUUUGGAAUCUUCCCAGUAGUGGGGAAUAACCAGUCGAAAGAUUGGCUAAUACCGCAUACGUGUGAAGAAAGCGGCGCUAUUGGAUGAGCCAAAGUCGGAUUAGCUAGUUGGUGGGGUAAUGGCCUACCAAGGCGACAAUCCGUAGCUGGUCUGAGAGGACGACCAGCCACACCGGAACUGAGACACGGUCCGGACUCCUACGGGAGGCAGCAGUGGGGAAUAUUGGACAAUGGGGGAAACCCUGAUCCAGCGACGCCGCGUGUGUGAAGAAGGCCUGCGGGUUGUAAAGCACUUUUAGUGGGGACAAAUGAUUUAACCCAAAGAAAAAGCACCGGCUAACUCUGUGCCAGCAGCCGCGGUAAUACAGAGGGUGCGAGCGUUAAUCGGAAUUACUGGGCGUAAAGCGCGCGUAGACGGUUUUGUAAGUCAGAUGUGAAAUCCCUGGGCUCAACCUGGGAACUGCAUUUGAAAC